Molecule: long non-coding RNA, 735 nt
Filed under: Podarcis muralis (Common wall lizard)
Lineage: Eukaryota; Metazoa; Chordata; Lepidosauria; Squamata; Lacertidae
Description: lncRNA (ENSPMRG00000021324.1)
Source: RNAcentral
AUGGGGGGACGCCGUUCCGUCGGACCUGCCUCGGCUGCUUCCGUUCCCUCCGCCGGCUGGAAACCAGAGCGGCGUUUUCGAGGUUCCGCUCUUCAGACGGGCCCCCAUAACGAAAAGCGGAGUUUCCUCGCUUCGUCGCUCAAACAUACACACGCAUUUGGAGUAUUUAUACCGUGCAACACGUUUCUUAGCAUUCAAGUUUCCAUCACUAAAGAGAUAAAGAUGCCACCCUCUGAUAAUUCUGAUGGGAGUGCUGACCUCGAAUCAGAAAAUGAGUCUAGAGGAAAUAACAGUCUGGGCAAGAUGCACAGAAGAGCUUCAACAAGUGACAUUAGGACAACUCUACCUGUGAAAAAAAUGAAACCCAAGCCUGCCUAUUUGAGUUCAAAAGAGGCUGUCCAGAUAAAAGGGCUUUCUGCCUUUAUUUCAGACAGAUUGGACCAUAAUGUAAAACAGUAUUGCUUGGACAAAAAUUCAUUGUAUAACACAGUAAUGCUGAUCUGCACUCUGCUGGUCUCUCUCCUCUUCAACCUUCUCUGCCAGUUGCUUGAGGUAUCAAAUGUUCUACGAAUCCAGCUGCUGCCUUCAUCUCUGGCUGUCCGGGUAUAUCAGCUCUUUGCCUGGGUGACCCAAAAGCCUGUGAAAAUCAUGAUUUCCUUGAAACAAGAAAUUUCUGCUCGAUCAGCUUUUUUCUUGGGGAAGAGAGAGAAAAGAACUUUUGGGGCUAAAGCGUAA